GUCACCGGCCAUCCCCGCCGUCGGGUGUGAGGUGUCCUUUAGACUGUGAAAGAAUGAGGAUGAGCCUUGGGUUGACCUUUAGCAAGGGUCAUUGCACCGCAAACCUCAGCCGACAGUGCUCGCGUGGAUCCCUCGGAUUAUUCGUGCCACCGAGCCCUCCUCUGGACCCUGAGAAGGUCAAAGAAUUCCAGCGCUUCAUCACCCUUUCCAAGCGACUCCUUGUGAUGACCGGGGCUGGAAUCUCCACCGAGUCAGGGAUCCCCGACUACAGGUCAGAGAAGGUGGGACUUUAUGCGCGCACCGACCGGAGGCCCAUCCAGCAUGGCGACUUUGUCCGGAGCGCACGAAUCCGCCAGCGCUACUGGGCGAGAAACUUCGUGGGCUGGCCACAGUUCUCUUCCCACCAGCCUAACCCUGCACACUGGGCUUUGAGCAGGUGGGAGAAACUCGGAAAGCUGCACUGGCUGGUGACCCAGAACGUGGACGCCUUGCAUACCAAGGCGGGGAGCCAGCGCCUGACAGAGCUUCACGGAUGCAUGCACAGGGUCCUCUGCUUGAACUGUGGGGAGCAGACUCCCCGGGGGGUGCUGCAGGAGCGUUUUGAGGUCCUGAACCCCACCUGGAGUGCCGAGGCCCACGGCCUGGCGCCCGACGGUGACGUCUUUCUCUCGGAGGAACAGGUUCAGAGCUUUCGGGUCCCGGCCUGUGCUCGGUGCGGAGGCCCUCUGAAGCCAGACGUCGUUUUCUUCGGGGACACAGUGAACCCUGACAAGGUUGACUUUGUGCACAAGCGUGUGAAAGAAGCCGACUCCCUCUUGGUGGUGGGAUCGUCCUUGCAGGUGUAUUCUGGUUACAGGUUUAUCCUCACCGCCCGGGAGAAGCAGCUCCCAAUUGCAAUACUCAACAUUGGGCCUACACGGUCGGAUGACUUGGCAUCUCUGAAACUGGACUCUCGUUGUGGAGAGUUGCUGCCAUUGAUAGACCCGCACUGACCACAGCCACACCCCUGUGCCAGAAAUGGGUACUUGAAUCCUGCUGCCACAGCUGUCAGAAUGCAACACCUGCCCUGAACCGACCACAGACAAGAAACAGUUCGUUCCCAAGUGGCCUCUGAAGUUGAUUUGCUCCUGCCCAGAAAAGCUGCAGGACUUGUUUAACUACUCUCUCAGCCAGAAAGAGUCUGUAUCAGGCUAUGGCUUUCUGCACAAUCUCACCAGAAAGUCAAGCGGAUGGAAGAAGCAGAGCCUACCGCCGGUAGCCUUUUGUCUAAAAUUAGGGCAGGCAAUACUAACUCACACUACCCCGCCUAGGAAGCACGUUUCAGUUACCUGGGAUAAUCUCAGAUCUUGAAAACACAGAGUUCUUUUCACCUCCAUAAAGACAAAGAUCCUAAAGUGCUUUGAAACAGAUUUUCUCAGUUACCCAAAGACGGUACUAAGGGGCCAGCAGGUGGCAUGGUGGUUAAAGGCUGUGGUUCAAGUCCUGGACCUGAUGGUUUGCUUUCUCACUUUCUCUCUC
RNA transcript from Tupaia belangeri chinensis (Chinese tree shrew), 1518 nucleotides. It is a transcript of the gene named sirtuin 4, with no coding region annotated. The transcript is spliced from 6 exons. The record is from RefSeq and is a predicted model, not a curated record. Lineage: Eukaryota; Metazoa; Chordata; Mammalia; Scandentia; Tupaiidae.